CAGCACUAGUGUACAAGAAACCUCUAUAACAACAGAGACUUCCACAAUCACGACUCCUGCUAAAACAUCCACCACUAGGGCAGCAGAAACAUCCACAACAACAGAGACUUCCACAAUCACGACAACUGCACCAGAAACAUCCACCACUAGUGCAGAAGAAACAGCUAGAACAACAGAGACUUCUACAACAACACAUCCUUCAACAGUGACAUCAACUCCUGCUGGAACCACUACUGCAGUACCUUCCACAACAGCACCACAAACAACAUCUACAACAGAACCUGUUGUGAUUCCCACUUCAACCACUACUGAAAGCACCACUGUCAGUUCAGCAACAACAUCCACAAUACCAACAGCUACAACAACACAUCCUUCAACAGUGACAUCAACUCCUGCUGGAACUACUACUGCAGGAGCUUCCACAACAGCACCACAAACAACAUCUACAACAGAACCUGUUGUGAUUCCCACUUCAACCACUACUGAAAGCACCACUCUCAGUUCAGCAACAACAUCCACAACACCAACAGCUACAACAACACAUCCUUCAACAGUGACAUCAACUCCUGCUGGAACUACUACUGCAGGACUUUCCACAACAGCACCACAAACAACAUCUACCGCAGAACCUGUUGUGAUUCCCACUUCAACCACUACUGAAAGCACCACUGUCAGUACAGCAACAACACCAACAGCUACAACAACAGGGCCCUCAGCUACCACAACAACUGCUGCUGGAACAUCCACCACCAGUGAAGCAGUUAUCACAACAGUGCCACAAACAACAAUUACUAGUGGAGCAGUUACCAUGACAGCACCACCGACAUUUAUGUCAUUCUCUCCAUCUUUAAAUGUCUCUGAGAGCACAACUGUUAGUACCAUUCAAACAUCUGCAACAACAACAACAACAACAGGAUUCUCUGCACUAAAAACAGAAACUUCUGUUUUUACUUCAGCAACUCCCUCUUCAACUCCCUUAAACACUACAAAUGGUAGCACAGCUGGAACAUCAACACAUUCAUUUGCCUCGACCACUAAUAAAACCACUGUCUCAACCACUAAUGCAACAACAAGAUUCUUGACAUCUACAACUCAAGUGCCUGCGACUACAACUACAAAAUCUGCACCCGUGUAUCUAACAGUUCUGGUGUUCCGCUCUUUAGACAACUUUACAGUUGAAUUCAGUGAUCCAACCUCUCAGGCCUUCAAGAAAAGGGCUCAGCUUGUCAUAUCUCAGCUUGAAACAAUCUACAGAGCAAAAUAUCCUUCCUUUAUUGAAGUGAUUGUCUUGCUUUUCAGACAAGGGUCAGUAAUCACAGAAACACAGCUAGCUUUCAACUCCACACAACCUGUUCCAACUGUUCAAGAGAUUUCAGACACCCUCUUUACAGCAGUGAUAACAGGAGGUGUCGAUCCACUGAACAUAACUCCUUAUUCGAUUUCAGUCAAUGGUUCGAUUAUUAACGUGACUACUUCAACUACAGCAUCAACAACAACAACAACAACAACAGCAAUGACAACAAUAACAACACCGACAACAACAACAACAACAACAAGACCCUUGACAUCUACAAGACCCUUGACAUCUACAACUAAAGUGCCUGCAACUACAACUACACAAUCUGUACCCGUGUAUCUAACAGUUCUUGUGUACCGUUCUUUUGACAUAUUUAUAAUUGAACUCAGUAAUCAAAGCUCUCAGGCCUUCAAAUCAAGAUCUGAGGUUGUCAGAUCUCAGCUUGAACCAAUCUACAGAGCAAAAUAUCCUUCCUUUAUCAGAGUGAUUGUCAUACGUUUCCGUCCUGGGUCAAUCAUCACAGAAACCCAACUAGUUUUUAACUCCACACAACCAGUUCCAACCGUUCAAGAGAUUUCAGACUCCCUCCUGACAGCAGUGGUAACAGGAGGUGUCGAUCCACUUAACAUAAUCCCUUCAACAGUUUCAGUCAAUGGUUCAGGUAAGUUUGAUUGCAUUUCAAAACCUAUCUUGCUACAUAUUCUGAAAGUCUUACAACAACUGUAGCUAGCACUUUGGCUCAAUAGAUCUUGUGGAAUUUCUAACCUUCUAUAUAUAGCACUAGUCACUAGGUGAUUAUAUGGAUAUACGAAUAACACAACAUAUACGGUACAUUUGGACUUUAAUGAAGCAAAAAAAGAGACACUUUGUUGAUCUAUUUCAUGCAUCUUUUUCUCACAGCUAUAGCUACGACUGUAGCUGCAACUACAACUACAACUACAACUGCAGCUGCAACUACAGCUUCAAGUGGAUUGAAGAUUGAAUCCAGCCUGCUCCAAGCAACAUGGCUCAUUAUUAUGGCAAAAAUAUUACAUCUUUUCCUAUAGAUCCCUUAACAAUGAAUAUGAGUUGCGAGAAAUGAAAGGCAUGUGCAAGGCACAAAUUAUAUUAGCAAAUUAUAUUAUUUUUGUAUGUGUAUUAUUUGUUAUUUAGUAUUGUAGCACACUCUCGAAAUAUGGCAAUGGCAAUAUAAACAUAAGCCUAAAAUUGCAUUGAUUCUCAGGGCACAAUUUGUAAUUAGAAAAAAUUAUAUAUAUUUUUUUAUUUAUCAGCAGGUUGUUGUAAUCAAUCAAAUAAGGACAAUUCCUAUUUCCUCAGUAUUUUAAAUGUAAUGCUUUUGUUCACCUGUCUGCAGGUUAAAGACUAUUUAUACAGUAAUUCUCUUUUGUCUAGUAUGUGCUAACAUUGCAAGACCUUAUUCUAUCUUAUUAUAAUCAAAUAAACAUAUUUAUUAAGUUCAUGUGGUCCAAAAUUGUAUGAUUGUUAGUAUUUACAUUUAUUUAAAAUGUACAAGGGUUUUAUAUUAAAUGAAUUAAAUAAAGUCUUAAUGCAACUUUAACUUGCAUAAUUCUUUCAUU
This is a long non-coding RNA of Sinocyclocheilus anshuiensis, 2874 nucleotides long. Ensembl annotates it as putative GPI-anchored protein PB15E9.01c. The record is from Ensembl. Lineage: Eukaryota; Metazoa; Chordata; Actinopteri; Cypriniformes; Cyprinidae.